This 268-nucleotide unclassified non-coding RNA is filed under the name Hevea brasiliensis (rubber tree). The record is from RNAcentral. Lineage: Eukaryota; Viridiplantae; Streptophyta; Magnoliopsida; Malpighiales; Euphorbiaceae.
AUCCUCUUUCAACUCCAUUUCUAAAUCUGUUAUGUAUUUGCAGUUUUGUAUGCUAACUAACCAGUUGAAGCCAUGGUUUUGAACCGUGGUUGCAGUCACGAGUAACAGAAUCAUAGUUGCCACAUUCUCCUAGCUCCCCUAGGUUCCGCGACCAUUGCGCGUUCUAAAACGCGAGACAUUUGGGUCCCAAAUCGCUUAGGAACGGAUUCUGGAUCUCUAAAUCAAGUGAUCCCAUUUCACUAUGCUCAACACAAAAUCAAAGGGAAGA